Molecule: ribosomal RNA, 497 nt
Filed under: uncultured bacterium
Lineage: Bacteria
Description: partial 16S ribosomal RNA
Rfam family: Bacterial small subunit ribosomal RNA
Source: RNAcentral
GAUGAACGCUGGCGGCGUGCCUAAUACAUGCAAGUCGAGCGAACAGAUGAGGAGCUUGCUCCUCUGACGUUAGCGGCGGACGGGUGAGUAACACGUGGAUAACCUACCUAUAAGACUGGGAUAACUUCGGGAAACCGGAGCUAAUACCGGAUAAUAUAUUGAACCGCAUGGUUCAAUAGUGAAAGACGGUUUUGCUGUCACUUAUAGAUGGAUCCGCGCCGCAUUAGCUAGUUGGUAAGGUAACGGCUUACCAAGGCAACGAUGCGUAGCCGACCUGAAAGGGUGGUCGGCCAGACUGGAACUGAGGAACGGUCCAGACUCCUACGGGAGGAAGCAGUAGGGAAUCUUCCGCAAUGGGCGAAAGCCUGACGGAGCAACGCCGCGUGAGUGAUGAAGGUCUUCGGAUCGUAAAACUCUGUUAUUAGGGAAGAACAAAUGUGUAAGUAACUAUGCACGUCUUGACGGUACCUAAUCAGAAAGCCACGGCUAACUACGUG